Molecule: RNase P RNA, 335 nt
Filed under: pig gut metagenome
Description: Bacterial RNase P class A
Rfam family: Bacterial RNase P class A
About the family: Ribonuclease P (RNase P) is a ubiquitous endoribonuclease, found in archaea, bacteria and eukarya as well as chloroplasts and mitochondria.
Source: RNAcentral
UAGAGGAAAGUCCGGGCAACGCAGAGCACCAUACCGGUUAACCGCCGGCAGGCAGCAAUGUUUGUCAGACGGAACAGAAAACAAACCGCCGCAAGGCAAGGGUGAAAAGGCGGGGUAAGAGCCCACCGGCUGAGUGGUAACACUCGGUGCAUGCCGUCGAUAUGGGUUGCAAGUUCAAGUAAACCAACAAAGUGUGCGUCUUCAUAAGCACAUGAGAGGGUUGCUCGCCCGAGUUGGAGGGUAGAAUGCUAAAGAACAAUGGUAACAUUGCUCUCAGAUUAAUGAUAGACACUCUUUGCAAAAAGAGCACAGAACCCGGCUUACAGACCUGCUGC